GACGUAGGGCGCGAGCGUGUCCGGAUUUAUUGGGCGUAAAGAGCUCGUAGGCGGCUUGUCGCGUCGAAUGUGAAAUCUCAGGGCUCAACUCUGACAUUGCAUUCGAUACGGGCAGGCUCGAGUUCGGUAGGGGAGACUGGAAUUCCUGGUGUAGCGGUGAAAUGCGCAGAUAUCAGGAGGAACACCGGUGGCGAAGGCGGGUCUCUGGGC
RNAcentral lists this ribosomal RNA (210 nucleotides) under uncultured bacterium. Its description in RNAcentral is "partial 16S ribosomal RNA". It matches the Rfam family "Bacterial small subunit ribosomal RNA", at positions 524 to 734 of the family's 1533-position model. The record is from RNAcentral.